Molecule: ribosomal RNA, 244 nt
Filed under: uncultured bacterium
Lineage: Bacteria
Description: partial 16S ribosomal RNA
Rfam family: Bacterial small subunit ribosomal RNA
Source: RNAcentral
UGGCGACCGGCGCACGGGUGAGUAACACGUAUCCAACCUGCCGAUAACUCGGGGAUAGCCUUUCGAAAGAAAGAUUAAUACCCGAUGGUAUAAUCAGACCGCAUGGUUUGAUUAUUAAAGAAUUUCGGUUAUCGAUGGGGAUGCGUUCCAUUAGGCAGUUGGUGAGGUAACGGCUCACCAAACCUUCGAUGGAUAGGGGUCCUGAGAGGAAGGUCCCCCACAUUGGAACUGAGACACGGUCCAA